CGGUAAACGGCGGCCGUAACUAUAACGGUCCUAAGGUAGCGAAAUUCCUUGUCGGGUAAGUUCCGACCUGCACGAAUGGCGUAAUGAUGGCCAGGCUGUCUCCACCCGAGACUCAGUGAAAUUGAACUCGCUGUGAAGAUGCAGUGUACCCGCGGCAAGACGGAAAGACCCCGUGAACCUUUACUAUAGCUUGACACUGAACAUUGAGCCUUGAUGUGUAGGAUAGGUGGGAGGCUUUGAAGUGUGGACGCCAGUCUGCAUGGAGCCGACCUUGAAAUACCACCCUUUAAUGUUUGAUGUUCUAACGUUGGCCCGUUAUCCGGGUUGCGGACAGUGUCUGGUGGGUAGUUUGACUGGGGCGGUCUCCUCCUAAAGAGUAACGGAGGAGCACGAAGGUUGGCUAAUCCUGGUCGGACAUCAGGAGGUUAGUGCAAUGGCAUAAGCCAGCUUGACUGCGAGCGUGACGGCGCGAGCAGGUGCGAAAGCAGGUCAUAGUGAUCCGGUGGUUCUGAAUGGAAGGGCCAUCGCUCAACGGAUAAAAGGUACUCCGGGGAUAACAGGCUGAUACCGCCCAAGAGUUCAUAUCGACGGCGGUGUUUGGCACCUCGAUGUCGGCUCAUCACAUCCUGGGGCUGAAGUAGGUCCCAAGGGUAUGGCUGUUCGCCAUUUAAAGUGGUACGCGAGCUGGGUUUAGAACGUCGUGAGACAGUUCGGUCCCUAUCUGCCGUGGGCGCUGGAGAACUGAGGGGGGCUGCUCCUAGUACGAGAGGACCGGAGUGGACGCAUCACUGGUGUUCGGGUUGUCAUGCCAAUGGCACUGCCCGGUAGCUAAAUGCGGAAGAGAUAAGUGCUGAAAGCAUCUAAGCACGAAACUUGCCCCG
This 881-nucleotide ribosomal RNA is filed under the name Escherichia coli. RNAcentral's name for it is "partial 23S ribosomal RNA". It matches the Rfam family "Bacterial large subunit ribosomal RNA", at positions 1921 to 2801 of the family's 2925-position model. Lineage: Bacteria; Pseudomonadati; Pseudomonadota; Gammaproteobacteria; Enterobacterales; Enterobacteriaceae. The record is from RNAcentral.